Molecule: long non-coding RNA, 815 nt
Filed under: Hermetia illucens (black soldier fly)
Lineage: Eukaryota; Metazoa; Arthropoda; Insecta; Diptera; Stratiomyidae
Description: uncharacterized LOC119661082, transcript variant X1
Source: RNAcentral
UCAAUUUGUUGGCAUUUACACUGGCAUUUUCAAUUUUCCCCGUCAAAUUUGAAAGGGACAUUUUCCAUGAAAAUUACAGAAAAUUGUGGGGCAAUGCAUAUGUAUGUUGCAAAGAACUCUUUACAAGUAAGUAGUAGGAUACUUUUCCUCCGCCCUACAAAUUCAAGUAAUGCUUGUGGAGACGAGUCUCCCGCAUGUAGAUUUCUUGUUCCCGACUUAACUCCCCUGCGUAUAUUCUUCUUUAUGUCGUUGCUUCUGUCUGAUUACAUCAUUUUGCAUAUACUUUGAAACAAAAAAACGUUUCAAACGAAAAAAGUAAUUCAAGUUCAUCCAUUUAAUCUUGAGGAAAUCGUGAUAACUCACGAACUUUAUACAUCGCGAUGUUUGCAUUCAUAAAGUUAGGAAAAUUGAACCUAUACAUGUACGAUUAUUUGCUUCGGUGCAAACAUAAAGUGAAACUAAUAUAACGAAGUGUGAUUUUUUUUUUAAGAGUGCGUUUGGGCGGAAAUUUAGGGCAAAAAUCUUUAGUAUAUGAAUCCCAUAAUAUGGUUUGAAACUGCAGCUAAUGAAUUGUUACGUAAAAAGUAAGGCGAGUGGAAUUACAGAUUACUGCAAAUGAAGGAAUGGUAGAAUAACAUGGAUGAAUAAUCACCUUUCGAAGAUGGAACGCUUAAACUGACUGAAGGUUUCAAGGACUAUUAUCCCAAUUUUCAGAGCCGGUAAUUAUAAUACACCUCCAUUCUAGUGAAUUUUAAACUUACCAGUUAAUUUGAAGCAACACACUCAAGUUAUCCGUACGAAUGGGCUAAACUUAC